AAUAUUUGCAUAAAAACAAUUAUAUACAAAAGGUUUAAAUAUACACAACUUAUAUUAAAUUUUAAAUAUAGAUACUCAGAAAAAGUAUUUAUAACACUAUAUAAAACUGCCAUUAAUUGAUAAAUAACAAAUUUUCAGUUACAAUGUUAUACUUAAUUUUUUAUUAUUUUAAAAUUUUGUUUUUACAUUUUUUCCGUUUUUAUCUUUGUGGGCAUGAUAUCUAACUAAAUAUACAAAAUAUAAAAACACAUCAAAUUAGUAUUUUUGACAAUAAUAGAUGUUUUUUAAUCUACAACCAGAUUAAUAAUUUGUCACUCGGCGUCUUGAUUUUUUUACUCUGGAACAAAAUAAUAAAAUAUUUAUUAAAUAUUAUUACUGUAGUUAGUUGUUAACGAUUGCCAUAGUCACUACA
This is a non-coding RNA of Cinara cedri, 412 nucleotides long. Lineage: Eukaryota; Metazoa; Arthropoda; Insecta; Hemiptera; Aphididae. The record is from the annotation of a GenBank genome assembly.